RNAcentral lists this transfer RNA (70 nucleotides) under Marmota monax (woodchuck). RNAcentral describes it as "tRNA.Thr". The record is from RNAcentral. Lineage: Eukaryota; Metazoa; Chordata; Mammalia; Rodentia; Sciuridae.
GGGCUGGGGCUUAGUGGUAGCGCACUUGCCUGGUAUGUAUGAGGCACUGAGUUAGAUUCUCAGCACCACA